AGCGUCCCCUUCCCCCACUGUCGGGUUUCUCCGCGGCUACUGCAGAGGAUUCAGAUCCGAGUAGCUGAAGAGAAGGAGGAGGAGGCUCCGGUCCCUGCGCGCCAUCCACCACCCUACUGGACACGGACGAGGGAACGAGAGCGUCGCCGCUGUAGCCUUCAGAGAAGACAAGGGCAUCGCCGCUUCUGCUGCCGCCGCCGCGGUUUUCGUCUGCAGCAGCUCGCCGGUGAGUUGCCAUAGUCUUCACAGCAGUGGAAACCAAGACGGAUACCUUCCCACCCUUUCUUCAACUUCAAGCUUCUGUGAUGACUUGUGAUACCGUCACUUCUUCAUCCAUGAAUCCAUUAUUGCCUCAGUGAGGAGGGCAACUAUAGAUUUAGGGCAACAUUUAGGGCAGGUUCAGGGGUGCAUUUUGUAAUCCUAAAGCUCUACUCAAGAGGCUGAGGCAAAGUGAUUGUGAACUUGAGACCAACUUCACAUACAUGAUGUGUUGUCUUCUAGCCUGGUUUAUGUAGCAAAACUGUAUCUCUUGCUUUUUAUAUGUACAUGUGUGUGUAUAUAUAUGUAUGCAUAUAUAUGUAUACAUGUAUGUAUGUAUGUAUGUAUGUAUAAACAAAUAAAAAAAUUUCUGCCUCCUG
This 638-nucleotide long non-coding RNA is filed under the name Rattus norvegicus (Norway rat). RNAcentral describes it as "long non-coding RNA NONRATT001019". Lineage: Eukaryota; Metazoa; Chordata; Mammalia; Rodentia; Muridae. The record is from RNAcentral.